Non-coding RNA from Pelobates cultripes (western spadefoot toad), 850 nucleotides. The record is from the annotation of a GenBank genome assembly. Lineage: Eukaryota; Metazoa; Chordata; Amphibia; Anura; Pelobatidae.
CAAAUUUAUAUCAUUGCACUAUGUAUCCAUUUGGAGAAUGUUAUUUUCAAAUAUGAAGCAUAUAUAUGCCUUUGUAAAUAUUUCAACUAUUGUGUAUAGGACUUGUAUAAGUUUAUGAAACUGCAAAUUUAACUUUUAGGGUAUUCAUUUUAGUUGUUAUUGUGAUUUAAACCUUUAUUCCUAUUAUAAUCUGGAUAUAAGCUACAUAUAUAUGAUGAGACUGCUAAAUGUCAAUAAAGUUUUUAAGAUGACUGAAAAAGCCGAUUGUUAACGUCAUACCCGGAAGUGAAUGAUGGAAAACGUUGGAACGCAUGUUGCGUUCCACUAGGCGCAACCCGAAAAUGGAAUUCACCUGAACAUUAACUGACAAGUGGGCUAUUUAAAACAAGGAACAUUGAACGGACUACACGACAGCUAACAGAGGAAGCCUAUUUUAGAAGGCGAAACGCGUUUUGGACACUUAUUAACUACAUAGCUUAUCCAGAUAUUUAUCUGAUAUUAUUAUUUUUAUAGUUGAUAUUUUAUUCGGAUCAAUAAAGCGCCUUUUUCCUAAAGAAACCACUCUCAUCUGGCAUUUGUAUACUGUGAAGCUGGCCAAGAGGGGAAAAAGGCAAGCACAUACCACAUUGGAAAAGGACUUGGACAUCCUAUAAUAGUCCAAAGGCGCAUACCAUUUGAGUCAUAUGAGGGUAUGACUCUAGGCUUGUGAGUGAUCUUGCUCUUUUAUUUUACUUUUCAAGCUUUUAAAUACUGUAUUGCACUAUUUGCAUAUUUUAUUUUCCAGAAUAUCUGUUGAAAUAUUGCUCGGAAACUCCACCUUUUAUAUGUAUGUAUAUUAUCUGUUUUUAAG